GAAGACGCUUGGAACUGUUCCCGGCACGAAGCCAGUGCCCUGUGAACAGUGGCUGCUGCUGUCGUGACUGAGUGCCGUCCAACUGGGGACAUUUGCUCUGCUCAGUUCACUGCCUUCAACAAGCUUGACGCAUUGAACGAGGGCUCAGUCGAUAAUGUACUCUGUAAAUACUCUCUCCCGGCUAGAGUGAGCAAAGCCCAGGGAGCGGGUGGUUCUUCAGUAUUACUCAGGUGUUUGUGGCAGGGCCAGCUGUGCGGCUGCCAGAGCGAAUGUGACCAGGAAGCCUCUGUCCCCCCGAGGUGGCCAGCGAUCCUGUUACAUGUGCCAUAGGCAGAAGAUCUAUACAACCUGGCGUUUGGCCGUGGCUUCCAGGACAGGCUGGAUGCAGAGUGAAGUCCUCUCCUCACUGUCAAUGUUUGCAGAUGUCUUCUUGUAUAAACUUCGUAUUUCUUGAGACUUUCAA
This is a non-coding RNA of Macaca mulatta (Rhesus monkey), 463 nucleotides long. NCBI's taxonomy places the organism in Eukaryota, Metazoa, Chordata, Mammalia, Primates, Cercopithecidae. The record is from RefSeq and is a predicted model, not a curated record.